CCUACGGGUGGCAGCAGUGGGGAAUAUUGGGCAAUGGAGGAAACUCUGACCCAGCAACGCCGCGUGCAUGAUGAAGGUCUUCGGAUUGUAAAGUUCUUUUUGAAGGGAAGUAGAAAGUGACGGUACCUUAGGAAUAAGCCUCUGCUAACUACGUGCCAGCAGCCGCGGUAAUACGUAGGAGGCAAGCGUUAUCCGGAAUGACUGGGCGUAAAGGGUGCGUAGGUGGUUCAGCAAGUUAGUAGCGUAAUUCCGGAGCUCAACUUCGGCACUACUACUAAUACUGUUGGACGUGAGUGCAGGAGGGGCAACUGGAAGUUCUGGUGUAGCGGUGGAAUGCGUAGAUAUUAGGAAGAACACCGGUGGCGAAGGCGAGUUGCUGGACUGUAACUGACGCUGAGGCACGAAAGCGUGGGGAGCAAACAGGAUUAGAUACCCGGGUAGUC
This 443-nucleotide ribosomal RNA is filed under the name uncultured bacterium. RNAcentral's name for it is "partial 16S ribosomal RNA". It matches the Rfam family "Bacterial small subunit ribosomal RNA", at positions 338 to 795 of the family's 1533-position model. The record is from RNAcentral.